Molecule: long non-coding RNA, 1915 nt
Filed under: Nicotiana tabacum (common tobacco)
Lineage: Eukaryota; Viridiplantae; Streptophyta; Magnoliopsida; Solanales; Solanaceae
Description: long non-coding RNA (NTAB_LNC001426)
Source: RNAcentral
GAGUAUGCGCCCUUUACCUUCCUUAUGCAUAACUUUUGAGAUCUAUACCUUUUGUCUGUCUUUGUGCGUGUAUGUGCGGAAUUCGAGCUGUUUUGAUUUUGUUAAAAAAGUCAAUUAGAGAGUGGAGGUUUACCUGUUGUGAUUAUUGUUCUAUUAUUUUUUUUAAUGUUAGAUUUGUUAGGAGAAUUGAAAUAUCUUAGGUGAAGCUAGCUAGAUUUUACGCUUCUUUUACAGUUAGUAAUUGGACUAUCUAAUUCUUUUUUCUUUUCAAUAAAAGAUGUUGAAACGCUUGACUUAGAUACGAAAUUUUACUUAUGAGAAGGAUUGCUUAUUCUCGCUGUUUAGUUAAUUAGAACAUUAGCCGAUUUAACUAUGCGUCAAUUCCGAAUUAAUUGUAUAUUCUUAUUUAGGUGAAUUCAGUGCACCUUCUGUGAGUAUGCUAUCAGUGGUUUACUUUGAUGUUCUCUGAUUUCUAUAUAAAGAGUGAAAGUUGGAAGGAGAAAACUAGUUCACGAGAAAAGCUUAAAAUAGUUCACGUUGUCCGCUGUAAAAAAUAUUUUAAUAAGUUGAUACUCUGUUUUCACUUCAUGCCUGGUGCAAUAUAGCCAUAGUAUCUUGAAAUAUCAGAUUGAAGUGUUUAUGCACUCAAGUGGUGGAGUAAGGAUUCCCUUUAGGCAUUACACAUUAUGUAUAACACAAACUAGAUGAGUUCUGAUUUGCAACACAUCACUACCUCUCCUUUUCCAUCCUAUCAUAGCAGUUGAUGUAAAAAAACAAGAACCUGGGAGAAUUCAUUCAUGCAUGAUGAACUCACUCUAAUUUUUGCUACCCUUAUCCUCCUUGUUCUGGUGCCUGUUAGUCCUGGUGCUUCUUUGUAUUUCCCUAAGUUGCACGGACUCUUCAAUGUUGGUGCCGUCCCCGUCCCGAUACGAGACUUGGACGGGUGCUGGAGCGGGAAAUGUCUUGGAUACGGUCAACCAACUUCGGACACUUUGACCGGAAUCCAUCGACAAAUUUGGGAGAAAAAAUUGAGAUUUUGAUUUCUCAAAAUAAAAAAUUAAACAGAUUUAAGUAAAGAUCUGAAGAGAUGAGAAACGAAAUACCUUCAAUUUCACUGCUAUGUAGUAAUUUAUACUAGUCCUUUUAUCUUCUUUGAAGCUUUUUGUCUUGGUCAAUCUUCUUGUUCUUGUUGUAUGUUUCUAAAAUCAAGAGCUCGUGGGAAGGGCUCGAAUGAGUUUUGAGUUUUGUACUGGAAAAAAAGACAAGACAUGGAAAAUGUUUUGCUGGGGAAAUGUCUCAGAGAUGGAAAGAGAAGAGGCAACAGAGAAUGGAUGAAGAAGAAAGGGACAAAUUAGGAAGUGAAUACUUUUUAAUUGACAGCACAUAUUUUUCCAAUUGUUUAUGAGAUAAUGGGGUUACAUAAUGGAGUGUUUCAGGCCUUUAGCUGUCUCCCAUCAAAUUACAAAAAGAAGUACUGUAACACUUUUAAAAAAGUGAGCUUUUUGACCAUAUUUAUAUACUUUUUGACCAUUUUCUCCUCUAUAACCACGUUAUGUAGCAAAUAUUAAUAUAAGUGUGCUUUGAGCUUCAAUUUUUUGAUUUGCGCAAAACAAAAAAGAAUAAAGAAGAAAAAGUUAUAUUUAUAAGAUUUUACUAGUUGUACAAAUCUAUAGCUCUAUUUUUUAUUAUUUUGAAUUUUCUUAGCCGUAUCCUGCACCGUAUCCAUAUACGGAUUCGCGCCCCCGAAUCUUAAAAUUUAGAUUUUGCCGAAUCCGAUACUCGGAACCGUCCCCGUAUCGGAUACCCGCACCCGAGUCCGAGCAACUUAGGUAUUUCCCCCUCCCUCAAGUCUGAACGAACUGGACAUGGUUGGCUAAGUUUGUUCUGAUAUUUGCUUUUUUUUUUUUUUUUUUUU